Molecule: non-coding RNA, 45 nt
Filed under: Schistosoma margrebowiei
Lineage: Eukaryota; Metazoa; Platyhelminthes; Trematoda; Strigeidida; Schistosomatidae
Source: RNAcentral
AUCCAGCUGACGAGUCCCAAACAGGAACAAAGGCGCUUCCUGGAU